GUUCUCUCCAGGUCAAAGCAGUAGAAACAUGCUAAGGCAUCCCCUGGAUAAACCACCAGGGAUGCCUGGGAAUAAAACUGCGAGUAAAUCCUGACCCUAUUAUCUUGUCUAUCUUCCUUCUCCUCAGGCUCCAACCCUAUGUCUUUAUCAGAAAAUGUCUUCUUUAUGAAAUUAUGCAUAAAUUAGCCCCCGGGCCCACCCAAAGGCUGUUCACGAUCCGACUUCCGAGGUCCGGCACCUAUAAUUCCCUUUUUGCUUUCUUUAGCUGGCCUCUCUCAUUGCUAGCCACCCAACAGGAUAAAACGAGUCUCUGAGAAGAAGACGCAAAGAUGAAAAAAAUGCCAGGCAAAAAUGAUUUUAUUUUAAAUGUUUUCGGAAAGGCGGUUCGCGUCUUUUCAGAUUCCCUGAACUGAUCAUCUCCAAGGUAUCACUCAAGUUAAAGAGAUGGGACUUUUUUUCUCCCCCGCCCUUCUCCACGCAUCAGUGGAACAGGAGGGAGGAGACGGAGGAGAGAAGAGGCAGGGAGGCGAAAAAGUGACAGAAGCAAGAGAGAAAGGGAGAGGGAUGUGGAAGGAAGGAAGCCAGGAAGGCAAGAGCAGAGGGGUGCUCGGCGUGCUGGAGAGCCUCCGAGGUCCGCCCGCCCGCAGGCGCCGGGACCCGCAAGGGCGGCGCAAGACUUCCCCGGCGCGCAGUCGGCGGCGCGGCCCCGGGAGCAGGCGGCACGCACCGCUGUCCUCCCGCUCCGCGGGGUCGCCCUGCCCUCCCGCGCCCCGGGGCUGGGGGCGCCACCUUGCCGGCGGCGACUGCGGCAGGGAACGCCGGGGGAGGAGUUUAGAGGAGAAUGAAUUGGACUGUGAGCCUUUCAUGAACUUCUCAAAAGAGCAGGAACAUGAGGCAAAAUGGUGAGGAAAACCCACAAUUCAAACUACCACAACGUGGGAAAGUUCUUAGAAUGACUGGAUCAAAAUCAUUGCCGUAUUGUCUCCAUGCGGUCACCAAUCUGUCAGCGGUGUGUAAGCGUGCAUGCUUUUUAACACGUCACCAAUCUAUGUCAGCGGUGUGUAAGCGUGCAUGCUUUUUAACACAUGGUCACCAACCUACGUCAGCGGUGUGUAAGCGUGCAUGCUUUUUAACACGUCACCAAUCUACGUCAGCGGUGUGUAAGCGUGCAUGCUUUUUAACACGUCACCAACCUACGUCAGCGGUGUGUAAGCGUGCAUGCUUUUUAACACGUCACCAAUCUACGUCAGCGGUGUGUAAGCGUGCAUGCUUUUUAACACGUCACCAAUCUACAUCAGCGGUGUGUAAGCGUGCAUGCUUUUUAACACGUGGUCACCAAUCUAUGUCAGAGGUGUGUAAGCGUGCAUGCUUUUUAACACGUGGUCACCAAUCUACGUCAGCGGUGUGUAAGCGUGCAUGCUUUUUAACACGUGGUCACCAAUCUACGUCAGCGGUGUGUAAGCGUGCAUGCUUUUUAACACGUGGUCACCAAUCUACGUCAGCGGUGUGUAAGCGUGCAUGCUUUUUAACACGUGGUCACCAAUCUACGUCAGCGGUGUGUAAGCGUGCAUGCUUUUUAACACGUCACCAAUCUACGUCAGCGGUGUGUAAGCGUGCAUGCUUUUUAACACGUCACCAACCUACGUCAGCGGUGUGUAAGCGUGCAUGCUUUUUAACACGUCACCAAUCUACGUCAGCGGUGUGUAAGCGUGCAUGCUUUUUAACACGUCACCAAUCUACGUCAGCGGUGUGUAAGCGUGCAUGCUUUUUAACACGUGUUCACCAAUCUACGUCAGCGGUGUGUAAGCGUGCAUGCUUUUUAACACGUGGUCACCAACCUACGUCAGCGGUGUGUAAGCGUGCAUGCUUUUUAACACGUGUUCACCAAUCUACAUCAGCGGUGUGUAAGCGUGCAUGCUUUUUAACACGUGGUCACCAAUCUACGUCAGCGGUGUGUAAGCAUGCAUGCUUUUUAACACGUGUUCACCAAUCUAUGUCAGCGGUGUGUAAGCGUGCAUGCUUUUUAACACGUGGUCACCAAUCUAUGUCAGCAGUGUGUAAGCGUGCAUGCUUUUUAACACGUGGUCACCAAUCUAUGUCAGCGGUGUGUAAGCGUGCAUGCUUUUUAACACGUCACCAAUCUACGUCAGCGGUGUGUAAGCGUGCAUGCUUUUUAACACAUGGUGUUAUUCAUUUAUUAAAAGUUUUUGAGUGACUAGCAGGAACCAAAUUUUGUUCUAAGCCCAGGGAUUAAAGUCUCCGCCCUUCUA
Callithrix jacchus (white-tufted-ear marmoset) is the source of this 2270-nucleotide long non-coding RNA. Lineage: Eukaryota; Metazoa; Chordata; Mammalia; Primates; Cebidae. The record is from Ensembl.